RNAcentral lists this long non-coding RNA (7187 nucleotides) under Arachis ipaensis. RNAcentral's name for it is "long non-coding RNA (AIPA_LNC001517)". Lineage: Eukaryota; Viridiplantae; Streptophyta; Magnoliopsida; Fabales; Fabaceae. The record is from RNAcentral.
GUGGAUCCAAGAGAGAGAGGGAGAGCGCCGGCAAAAAAGGAGGCCGCGGGUUGCCGGUUCGUCCACGAGCCGCCUCUAGAACCGCGAAGAGAAGGAGAAGCUCGCGCCACCGUCAACCCGUCGCCGCUGUUCGUCCUUGCCGCCGCCAGUUGCGCCGCCGCGAAGAAGAGAUGCGCGAAAGAGGAAAGGCCGGUUCUGUCACCACCGUCGUGCCGUGCUCCAUGCCGUCACCACCAUUAUUCUGUCACAAGAGAAGGAUGUGCGAGGGAGGAAACAGAAUCGCGAGGGUGCUCAGCCACGGAGAGAGGAGACGCACGUCGAAUCUGUCGCCGCCGGUCCGCCCACCGCCAAACCACGCCGCCGUCCGUGAGGCUUUCUCCAUCACCGCUGCCGAAGGUCGCCAUCGGAGCCACUGCUCCACUUCUGUCAUUCUUCUUUUUCCGGUGAGUUGUCGCGCCUUGAAGCUCCUUCUGUAAUUAUUCUAGCUACCUGUGGUUAAGGAUUCUGAUGUAUAGAUGUUGUAAGGUUAACUUUAUGGGUUUGCAUGUCAAAAAUUAAGGUUGUUGCUGAGCCACUGAAGCCCCUGGCCACUGUCAGAGCUGCUGCCGAUUAAGUUUGGGGUGGUUGGCGUGUCGUUCUUUUAUUCCAGUAAGUGUCUUUACCCCGGGAUCCUCGCCUUUGGUUUUCUGAUAUGUGUUUUGAGGUUUCCACGAUAUUGAUAUUUUAGGAAUUAGAAACCGGGCCCGCACGUCACGUUUGAGGCUGUUCUGCUUUUGCGGAAGUGAGCAGAGCUGAGGUUUUAGUUGCAUUGAUUUCGGGUCGAGAGGAAAGAAAUUUCUUAAGGCAUUUGGAUUGUGGUUUGAACGUGUCGAGGUAGGGGCUUUUUCAAAGAACUUAGUUUUAUGAUUUGGAGUUGUUAUAAAUGGAUAUUAAUGUGAUAAAUGUACUUUUGUGGUUAUAUAAGCCUUAUAUAUUGCUGAGCUAUUUUGUGAUGAACGUAUUUGUGGUUAUAUUGGAUUGCUGUUUGAUUUGGUUAUAUGGUUGGUUGCUGAAAUAUUCCAUUACAAUUUUGGAAAACGAGUUUGGUUCAUUGAAAAUGGAUUGAGUUUGGAUUUGAUUUCUUGAAUUAUGAGAAGGAUAUGAAUUUUCAAAAUUAGUCUGAUUUUAAACUGAUUUGGGUUUGAACCCGUGGAAGGGGUUGUAUAUUAGUUUGGUUGGGACCCGAAACGGGUGGCAAAAUCCAAGUUUUAGGGGAGAUGCUGCCGAAAUUUUAUGAAAUUCAAGAUUUUGUUUUAAGAUAUGAUUUAGAAAAGGACUGGAUUUGAGAGGUUCUGUUGUUUGGUUCUUGAUUUAUUAAGAAACAGGAGAUUCAAGUUUAAUCUUUUAAGGAAUGCUUAUGUUUUAAGUUUGAGUUAAACAUGAGGGGACUUAUGUUUUGAGGUUUGGUCAAAGAAAUACCUUUGGAGGAGUUUUAGCAGAUUUUAAAGGAAAUUGAGCUCUGAUUACUUAAUUUCGUAUUACUUUUGAAGUAUUCUUUAAAUUUUAACUAAACAAAUCCGAGCCUUUGGGAAAGUUUCUGAUUUAAGAAUGAAAAGAAAUUGGGUUUUUUGGACUUAAAUAAUGUUGGUUUUGAAACUGGUUCGGAACUUUUGGCCUAUAUGCCUUGGUUUUGGUUUUGAGUCUCCAUUUUAAAUGAUUUUAGUUUGAGUAAUUAUGAUUCCGAGGAUUUCUAAAGAGUUUGAGAAGUGAGGCAGGUUAUUCUUCCCUAAAGACUUGUGUCUUCUCAAAGAAAGUUCCAUUUUACGGUUAUGAUUGAAAGUCUCUUGGAAGUUUUGUAAAAUGUUAUAUUAAGCGACUAAGACUUGAAAAGGAAAUUGAUUUUGAGGAAAGUUGAAUUAUGAGUUUGAAGAGAUUUGAGAAAUAAAAAGUGACUUAUGGCUUGAAUGAUGAUUGGUUUAGUAUGAAAUGUUAAUGAAAUGCGGAAAUGAUGAUGGACGAAUGAUUAUGAAUAAACAUAUGUGGCUUCCGCACGUUUAUCUGAGAUACGAGUUCCCUGGGUAAAGAACCGUGGCUUGCCACCACGUGUUCUAGGUUGGAUCUCGAUACUCUGUUGACCUUACGUCGUAAGGGUGACCGGGAACGUAUAAAUUCCCGGGUAUGGAUAGCCCCCAGUGAGUGAUUUGAAUGAUGUAUGAAUGUAAAAUCUAUGCAUAGACUCAUGGGGAUGCGCGACGGGGGACAGUCUAAGGACAAUUCAUACUUGUCGGGUUGGCUGGAUAACCGACAGAUGAGCCUCAUCAGCCAUAGGACAGGCAUGCAUCAUAUGCAUUUGUAUGCUUUGUUUGGGUUUGAACUUGUUUGGGUUUGCCUAAUUGCUAAACUGUUCUUAACUGCUACUUGAACUAUUUGCUGUAACUGCUACCUACUUGUGCUUUCCUUGUCUGUCUUGCCUAUGUUUGUCCUGAUGUGCUACAUUUGAGAAUGAACUUUAGUGCUGAAUUAAUGAUUGUGUUGUUGAUUGCGUGGUUGGUUUCUGAUUGAGAUUUUCUUUUAAGAAAGGAAAGGUUUCAGAUUUCUGAAAGAUUAAACUUUUUUUCUUUGAAAAGGUUUUGAACGUUUACUUAAUGGUUUUUAAAAGAUUCAUAAGGCAUGAUAAUCUCUGAGUUUGAAAACAGUUUUCUUAUUAAAUAUCUUUUUAUGACAACUUUGAAACUCCGUGGUGAGACCGUGUGGUUAGGUUCUCACCCCCUACAGGUUUUUCCUUUUCAGGAUAUGGACGACGAAGCUUCAGAAGAGUUAUAUUCGUUUUCUGUUUAUUCGACAUUAUUUUGUAUGAUCUUAGUUUUUAUUUAUUUUUUCCCUCGCCUUUAUUUCUAGCGCAUUUUGCAAGAGGGAUAAGAGUUUUGAUGUGUGAAGUUUUUAUAUUGAUAUGAUGUGUAUAUAUAUGUAUGUAUAUGAAUUAUUUGUAAGUAUUGUAACGUAUGGAUGUAUGUUUCGAAUAUUCGGGAAAAUUUUAAACAGGCUCAUAUAGUACUAAAUAUUUCAAGAGUCGUUGUAAUACCCAAGCUAUCAGAGUGGCGCAGCCGGAAGUGUGACUUUUGAUAGUUAGGGUGUUACAUUAUGGUAUCAGAACGGUCCUUCCUGUAGAGCCUGAGGAAUGGACCGACUAUGCUUCAAUUGCAUACUCAGAGAGUCUGUCAUGUAGUAGGUCUUGUUUGGAUAACGAGAAUAGAGCUUUAUGCACAUGACGGUCUAUUGAUUAAUGCCAUUAGUCUUGUAUUACAUAAUUCCUGAUAUUAAGUUUGGCCGGCUUAACACUAGUGAAUUAUGUAUAUGUAGGCAUUAAUGGGUUAUCAUAGGCGAUAAACGAGUCAUAGAUAACGCGAGACGUGAGUUUUGGGAACGUUAGAAACUAAGUUCUAGAGAUAAGUUCCGUUUCGACGUAUAAUCUAUAUUCGUACUUGAUGUUAUCUCUUUCUUUAUUAAUUGUAUUGAAGUCUCAAGUUCUCUUGGUCUCUUUCUUGGAAUAUGUUCUCGAUAUUUUUCCAUCAUAUCUUGUCCUUCAUACAUAUCCUUGCUUGAUUAUGUUCCUACUUAUUGCUUGAAUCUUUAGGGAACAUUCAACUUUGACACUGUUCAUAAAUUCUGUAUUUCUUGAUUUGAUAUUGAAUUUAUUUUAGUGUAACGCAUAAUCCUUGAUUCCUAAACCGUUUGAAAUCUUAAGAGUUGCGAUUCUUAGCAAGCUAAUUACUCGAUUUGGUUCUCCUGUUUCGUGUUCUAUAACUUAUGCGUAUUUUGCUCAGAUUACAACCAUUGGCUUUAUGUUCCCGUACAAGAGUGAUAAACACUUUGACCUUGUUUUGAUGUAAUAUAUCACUGCUAGUAGUUUCUUCUGAAAUUUUUAUUUUGGAGCCUCUUUUGAAAAUAGUUCUAUUUGACUUUUUUUUUCCAGUUUAAUUCUGAUUGUAAUCAUUCUUUGAAUUCUGAAUACAAUAGCUUUUGAUUUUAUAAGUACUCUCCUAUAAGAAAUGAAUAAAUUCUUCGUAUAGUUAAAGCAUGUUUCUUUCUAAAAGUACUACUUACUCUUUAUUUAAUUUUAUAAGAAUAUUUUACCUUAGAUUUAUUCAUUUAAAUAUAAUUUGAUCCUUUUUCAAUUGGAAUUUUUAUGAAUAUAUAUUUACUUGACUAUGUACUUGCGUAUUCUUCAAACUUCCUGAAACAAGACUUUUGCUUUUAUUUCAGUUAACUUUCAUUUGACAAACUUCACUUAAUUUAUUUUUAAUUUGAAUUUGGUUUAGUAUGAUACAUUGCCUAUGCAAUUGUUGUUCUUUUGAAAGUAUUGGGCUCAUAUCCUUCCUCUUAGGAACAGACCAAUUCCUUUUUAAGCUUUUCACUUCUUUGAAUGAUAUACUUGGUUCUGUUUUUAAUUAUUCUUUUAUUGUUACAAACAUCACCAUUAGUCUUAGUUUUCCUUCUCUUGUGAAUCUCAUACUCGUCCGAGUCAUCCUGAAUUUAUUUCAAUCUAGUGCAACGUUUGUCCUCUUAUUUGUCUUUGUUUAAUCAAAGGUUCUUUCAUGAAAAUUCACUAUUAAUCGAGUGUCUUUCCUUACAAGUUUUGUAUUCUUUUGGAUCGAUUGAAAGCUUGUUUGAUAUCUCAUGCCUCUGGAUCUUGUUUAAACUCCCUUGAUUUAAAGAUCCUUUCUUCCAUGGGCUGAUUACCUUUUAAGCGCAUCGUAAUCUUCUUAAAUGAUUUUUGCGAGGUGGUUAUUCCAAGUAUACUUUCAAAAUUUUGUUUUCAACCAUUUUUGAAGAAGUUUUGAAUUCUUUUGAAAAAAAAAAUUAUUUAAGUUUUGAAUCAACCUUUUAAGCUGCUGAGUCCCUUUCUUGAAAUGAGUUGGUUUUCUUCUUAGUGCAUCUUAAUAUUAUUGAACAUCCUUAUAAAGCUGUGAUUUCAAGUAUAUUAUUGGAGUUUUGUUUUAAACCUUUUUAAACAAGUUUUGAUUUAUUCUUAUGCAAAGUUGUUCUUGACUUUGCAUUCCUUUACUUGAGCAGUACCUCUCUUUGAUAUGAUUUGAACUUGUCUUGGUGCGAUAUAACUGUCUAUUGAAGUUUUAAUAAAAUCGCUUUCAAUUCAGCCUACACUCCUUUACCUUAUACUCUGAAAAUUUCUGUAUGUGAUUUAAACCUGUUUGAUUGUAACGUAUCUUCUUUUAUUUUAUGAGUAAAACUCUAUCUCAGGUUUCCUUCCAACAAGAUUGUAGUUUUCAUAUAUGCUUGAAAAAGAAGAGAAAAUGCAAUGUUGCUCUUAGCUAAAUUAAUCUUUCCAUUUACAAAGUUUGUGUAAUCUAUUUCCACUUGAAUUUAUAUUGAGAUAAUGCCCCAUUUACGCUUUUAUUAAUCUUUUGAAGGAUGUUUGUUACCCAUUUUCUUUUUCAAAACAUGAAAUAACUUUCCCUUAAGUUUUCCAUUCUUUACGAACAAAGUAUUAGAAAGUAUUUUUUUUUAAACCAUACUCUUUAGUUCUAUAAGCUUUAUCUUUGGUUUUAAACACUCUUCUUCUGUAAACCUCAUAUUUCGAGACUCGACUUGAUUUUAUUUCAAACUACUGCACUACUUUUCUUUUUAUUAUUCCUAUCAGAUUUCAUUGAUUCGAGAGUCAUUCUUGAGAUUGCCGAACUAAUCUUCUUUCUGGCACUCUUCAUUCCUUGUGCAUACCUGCUUAUUUGUGAUCUCAACAAUUCUUUCAAGCUCUUGCGAAUUUUAUCCUUGUCGCUUGUCCUUUUCCAAGGUGUUAUAUCCUUCGAAUAAACUCGGAGAUAGCUUUAGAGUCACGUAUGACCUUUAGGCGUAAUAAGCGAAGCGUUAGUCUCUUUAGAAUGCAGUUCGUAAACGUGAAAAGGGAAAGCGGUAAAUAUGCAAUGUUAUAAGGAGUGUGGUAGUUUUGUUCCUCGUAAAAGUUUGCGGAUGAUUAUGCUUGUGGCGGUUAAGGGGUUGUGAAGUGACUGAUAGAAUUGGGAAGUUGAAAUUUUGGAGUUAGUACGAAAUGUAUGCGCAGACGUUAUCCUGUUUGUUCACGUCAACCUGUUUUCAAACUUCUGCCACCUAGUUACCCCUUUGUUUUUGCGAACACCUAACUUGAACACUUACACCUUCUUGUGCUCCAAGUUUUGGUAAAAUAGUAGCCCCUAUAACAUUUUUGCUAUGAACCAUCUUUUAACUUUAGACCAUAUUUUUCUCUUACACCUAAGUUUUAUGAAUUAUUCGGUAUUUGGAAAACUAUAUGCCUAUAUCUGCCAAGACCUCUAUUUUUCUAAAGUAUACCAAAGUAAAGUAUUCAAAACUAUUUUAGUAUUUUGUGUAUUAACUUAAUUUUCGAGGACGAAAAUUUUUAUAAGUGGGGUAAGACCCCUAAUUUUGAAAAGUUAUUAAUUAAAUAUUUAUGGUCUAUUAUAUUUAUUUAAAAUCAUAUUUUUAGAGAUUUUUAUACAUAAGUUGAGUAAAUUCUUAUUUAUUAUUUAGAGUUCUUAUAAAAGAAAAUAAAUAAAUAAAUAGUAAAUAUUUUAUAUGUCUUACUUUUAAAUAUUUAGAUUUCUAACCUUACUUUAUAAAUAAAGGAGAAUUAAAUUACUUAUCUCCAAUUUUUGUUAAUUUAGUAUUUGAAUGAAAAUAAUUUAGAAAUUGUAUUUAGAAGGUAUUUUUGAGAUAGAUACUCUAUAUUUAAUUUGGUUUUCAAUUAUUAUUCUAUUUUUAUUUAUUUUGAAAAAUUACAUUAUUAUCCCUAUUUUUAUUUAAAUUUCCUAAUCUACCCCACACCACCUCAAACCCUAACAAUACACUAACCUCACCCCACUCACACGGUGCACACACAACUCACCCACACUCACAGUAAAGAACAGAAAGAAGGGAAAAGAAAGAAAAUGGAGUGAGGGUUGCGAGAGAAGAGGGUGGAUCCAAGAGAGAGAGGGAGAGCGCCGGCGAAGGAGGAGGCGGCGGGUUGCCGGUUCGUCCACGGGCCGCCUCUAGAACCACGAAGAGAAGGAGAACCUCGCGCCGCCGUCAACCCGUCGCCGCUGUUCGUCCUUGCCGCCGCCAGCUGCGCCGUCGCGAAGAAGAGAUGCGCGAAAGAGGAAAGGCCAGUUUUGUCACCACCGCCGUGCCGUGCUCCAAGCCGUCACCACCACUGUUCU